UACAGAGGGUGCAAGCGUUGCUCGGAAUUAUUGGGCGUAAAGGGUAGGUAGGUGGUCUCAUUUGUCUGGGGUGAAAGCCUUGAGCUUAACUCAAGAAGUGCCUCGGAAACGGUGAGACUAGAGUAUUGGAGAGGGUCGUGGAAUUCCCGGUGUAGCGGUGAAAUGCGUAGAGAUCGGGAGGAACACCAGUGGCGAAGGCGGCGACCUGGACAAUAACUGACACUCAACUACGAAAGCGUGGGGAGCAAACAGG
Molecule: ribosomal RNA, 253 nt
Filed under: uncultured bacterium
Lineage: Bacteria
Description: partial 16S ribosomal RNA
Rfam family: Bacterial small subunit ribosomal RNA
Source: RNAcentral